GAGUAGAGUGGCGCACGGGUGAGUAACGCGUAAAUAAUCUACCCCUGCAUCCGGGAUAACCCGCCGAAAGGUGUGCUAAUACCGGAUACGUUCUUUUGAUCGCGAGAUUAAAAGAAGAAAGGUGGCCUCUGAUAUAAGCUACUGUGCGGGGAGGAGUUUGCGUACCAUUAGCUAGUUGGUAGGGUAAUGGCCUACCAAGGCAAUGAUGGUUAGCGGGUCUGAGAGGAUGAUCCGCCACACUGGAACUGGAACACGGACCAGACUCCUACGGGAGGCAGCAGUGAGGAAUAUUGCGCAAUGGGGGCAACCCUGACGCAGCGACGCCGCGUGGAUGAUGAAGGCCUUCGGGUCGUAAAAUCCUGUCAGAUGGAAAGAAAUGUUAUAUGGAUAAUACCUGUAUAGCUUGACGGUACCAUCAAAGGAAGCACCGGCUAACUCCGUGCCAGCAGCCGCGGUAAUACGGAGGGUGCAAGCGUUGUUCGGAAUUACUGGGCGUAAAGCGCGCGUAGGUGGUCUGUUAUGUCAGAUGUGAAAGUCCACGGCUCAACCGUGGAAGUGCAUUUGAAACUGGCAGACUUGAGUACUGGAGGGGGUAGUGGAAUUCCCGGUGUAGAGGUGAAAUUCGUAGAUAUCGGGAGGAAUACCGGUGGCGAAGGCGACUACCUGGCCAGAUACUGACACUGAGGUGCGAAAGCGUGGGGAGCGAACAGGAUUAGAUACCCUGGUAGUCCACGCCGUAAACGAUGUCAACUAGGUGUUGGGAUGGUUAAUCGUCUCAUUGCCGCAGCUAACGCAUUAAGUUGACCGCCUGGGGAGUACGGUCGCAAGAUUAAAACUCAAAGGAAUUGACGGGGGCCCGCACAAGCGGUGGAGUAUGUGGUUUAAUUCGACGCAACGCGCAGAACCUUACCUGGUCUUGACAUCCCGGGAAGCUUCAGGAAACUGGAGUGUGCCUCUUGAG
RNAcentral lists this ribosomal RNA (961 nucleotides) under uncultured bacterium. Its description in RNAcentral is "bacterial SSU rRNA". It matches the Rfam family "Bacterial small subunit ribosomal RNA", at positions 88 to 1024 of the family's 1533-position model. The record is from RNAcentral.